Molecule: ribosomal RNA, 253 nt
Filed under: uncultured bacterium
Lineage: Bacteria
Description: partial 16S ribosomal RNA
Rfam family: Bacterial small subunit ribosomal RNA
Source: RNAcentral
UACGAAGGGAGCUAGCGUUGUUCGGAAUCACUGGGCGUAAAGCGCACGUAGGCGGAUGUGUCAGUCAGGGGUGAAAUCCCGGAGCUCAACUUCGGAACUGCCCUUGAUACAGCACGUCUUGAGUCCGAGAGAGGUGAGUGGAAUUCCUAGUGUAGAGGUGAAAUUCGUAGAUAUUAGGAAGAACACCAGUGGCGAAGGCGGCUCACUGGCUCGGUACUGACGCUGAGGUGCGAAAGCGUGGGGAGCAAACAGG